UACGUCCCAUACAAAGCGACUAAGCCGGGGAGCUUCAUCUGGACACAGUAGCGUCCGCAGGCCAAGCUGUCGUUUCAGUGACUGAGAAAGGGAGCUUCACUUAGACACGAGAACGAGGACUGUCAGUCCAUCGCUCGCCGCCAGCAGGAAUCACUGAAUCAGCACAGAGUGCAUAACAACUAUCAGCUGACAUCCUCCCGCUGAGAUCAUCCAUUUCUUGCUGGCCUUCUACCAAUUUAAAGCUUCGCAUGCCUUUGCUAUCCACAAACCACCGGCAAUGGAAAAUUUUAGAGUCGAACGGCACAAAGCAACGGCAGGCAUAUGCAGAGAGCUAGAGAGGCUUGAGAUGGAGGGAUCAAGCAUAGAAGCACCCAGAUGGUACCUUCGCAGGGGAGAUGACACCGCUGCCUUCCUGCAGGUGUUUGUCUACAGCUCAGGAAGACUGCGGUCUCAUCUGCUGCGCAGAUCAGAGGUUUGAUUACAGCCAAAAGCAACAUUCUGAAAUUCUAAAAUGGAAUCAUAAUCCAUGGCCAACCGCUGCAGCACAACAAACACGGCUGCUACAAAUCGAGACUUCAAAUUGGCGGCAAAUCGGGCUGAGAACGAGCCAACAAAGGCCCCUCAACUGCCUCUAUAUCAGGCUAUACGCUCAUGCAACUGUUUGCAUCUUGUUCCUCGCUGCUUGCUGGUAGUUACUACCGUUGGCGGCCCUGAAUGGCGCCUAACGUUUGUGGCAGUCGUAGUACUGCUAUUGCUAGCUGACGGAAGAGCCAGUCAUUUCUCUGACGAGGAAAGUGAUCCUUUCUUAAAAGAGGCACCUACUAGGCUCUCUGAUUUCUCUUUGAUUGCUGCAGAUGGGGUGCUGGUGCGUGGUGCUGCCGGAGGCCGGGCCGACUUCUGAGCUGCUGCUGGUGUCGAUUCAAAGUUGGUGUCAGGUUGUUUUGUUGUGGCAGGUAUGACUGUGCUUUGGUGAUCCCAUGGCCUUGCUGCCAUUGAGCGUCCCAACCAGCUCCAACCCCAUUGCGGAUCGCUCGGGUCUGUCAGUGCUUGAGUUAAGGAUCUGGUAGAAUUCCUCCACUGAGAAAGAAAAAAAAAAUAACAUAGCAAUGAAACACACUAUUGAAAUGAAAGAAAAUACGGAUUAGAAAUGCCAACUACCUGAUGUGUAUAUGCAUAAGCUAAUGUUCUUUCCCUUUUUAUAGCAGCUUCCUGUUUGUUCA
RNA transcript from Zingiber officinale, 1220 nucleotides. RefSeq lists it as uncharacterized. The transcript is spliced from 2 exons. The record is from RefSeq and is a predicted model, not a curated record. Lineage: Eukaryota; Viridiplantae; Streptophyta; Magnoliopsida; Zingiberales; Zingiberaceae.